UAAAAAAUUGUCCUAGUUGGAUACCAGAAGUUCAAUUUCGCCAGUUGAUAGAGUAUUGGGAGCUUCCAACUGUUAAAAAAGAAACAAAAAUGAAGGCAUCGAAUGGGGCCUGUUAAUUUUGGAAGAGUACGCAUGGCACUGCGUGCAACCAAAGAGAAUAAUGAGGAACCAUCAAAGGCUGAAAUGUUUAUUGCAACUCGUACGAAGAAUGGAAAACAAGU
Molecule: long non-coding RNA, 221 nt
Organism: Solanum verrucosum
Lineage: Eukaryota; Viridiplantae; Streptophyta; Magnoliopsida; Solanales; Solanaceae
Exons: 3
Source: RefSeq, a predicted model, not a curated record